This is a long non-coding RNA of Nothoprocta perdicaria, 295 nucleotides long. RefSeq lists it as uncharacterized. The record is from RefSeq and is a predicted model, not a curated record. NCBI's taxonomy places the organism in Eukaryota, Metazoa, Chordata, Aves, Tinamiformes, Tinamidae. The transcript is spliced from 4 exons.
CGAGAAGAAGUAAGCGACCCCGACUCGCAGCUCGUCCUUCUCAAUCCCCGAGGGGUCCCCGGUCGGCAGCUCGCUGUAAUUCAGGUACYGUAAACCACUGACUGGACACUGGCCUGCUUUAGAGGACAACAGACUCGUUGUUAAAUGUGGAACAGAUAUAAACAUGUGAUUCUGACCUACCCAUGGAGACUGCCAGUGUGCUAGAAUUUUGAUUUCAUAGAUUUCCAAUUUUAAAAGACUACUCUGUCAAAGAUUAAAUAUGCCUUGAAGACACUCAGAGAGGAGUGGGCAGCCU